GGGUUGGUAGCUCAGUCGGUAGAGCAGUGGACUUUUAAUCCAUUGGUCGUGGGUUCGAAUCCCACCCGACCCA
This is a transfer RNA of Candidatus Accumulibacter, 73 nucleotides long. It matches the Rfam family "tRNA". Rfam says of the family: Transfer RNA (tRNA) molecules are approximately 80 nucleotides in length. Their secondary structure includes four short double-helical elements and three loops (D, anti-codon, and T loops). Further hydrogen bonds mediate the characteristic L-shaped molecular structure. tRNAs have two regions of fundamental functional importance: the anti-codon, which is responsible for specific mRNA codon recognition, and the 3' end, to which the tRNAs corresponding amino acid is attached (by aminoacyl-tRNA synthetases). tRNAs cope with the degeneracy of the genetic code in two manners: having more than one tRNA (with a specific anti-codon) for a particular amino acid; and 'wobble' base-pairing, i.e. permitting non-standard base-pairing at the 3rd anti-codon position. NCBI's taxonomy places the organism in Bacteria, Pseudomonadati, Pseudomonadota, Betaproteobacteria. The record is from Rfam.